Molecule: long non-coding RNA, 1214 nt
Organism: Syngnathus typhle (broad-nosed pipefish)
Lineage: Eukaryota; Metazoa; Chordata; Actinopteri; Syngnathiformes; Syngnathidae
Exons: 3
Source: RefSeq, a predicted model, not a curated record
CAAUGACAGCGAACAUUGCUACGCAGCCAAUGACGAACAUGCACACUGAUUGACUCAAAGUCACCGAUUACCACAAUCAAAUGGCAGGUACCCAAGAUGUACAUGGCGACCAGACGAUUUAACAUGUGCGGUAUCAGUGAAAUCCCAGCUUUGUCCGCCAGAGGGCGCUAUGAACGUCUCAAUGGUUCAGCAGGAGCCCUCGCCAGUCGUGCUGUCAAACUGUACACAGAACAAUUUACAGACCGUCUGGGAUGGAUUUCGCGUGACCAGCUUGUCAGUUCCACUGAUUCAUCCUCCACCUGGACUGUGAGCUUUAGUGCACGAUGGAGCAACCUAGCCGCUAACUGCGUCUGAGGAUUUCAAACAAUUAAUGAAAACGUGUAACUUAAACGGAGGUUGUAAAAGUGGAACAAAUAGUGAUUACAUGGGUCUAAAUAAAGGCUUGUGGCAGUAGAGCUAAUAAAAGACACCAAAUAAGGGCGCUUUAUAAACAUGUAGUAACAAUGAUCACUGGGCUAAUGAAACUUAAUCUGUCUGGAAGUCCUGACCUCAUUUGAUGCUUUAUUAGCAAUAUUGAUUUUUUACAAUCCAGCCUCAACCCAGUUAAAGUGGGGGUGGAUGUUCGCAUAUCAGCUUUGUCCGUACGCCAACUAACAUCAACAAAUCCUCCACGGACAGAUUAGCACUUGUAUCAUUCUGGAUCGUUUUGGGGGUUGGAUCUUUCUCAUCUCAAGAGAUUAAAAUUCACACUCAAAACCGGAUUUCACUCGUAAGUAUGAUUUUGACUGAUAAUCUGAUUGUGAUAAUCCCAAUCUUGAUGCGUGUCAUAAUCCAUGGCUAGACAUCUGACCAAUAAGCACUCAUUUUUCAUUUAGCAGGCGCUAACUACAACGAUAUGUUUUUACAGCUAAAGGCCUAAAGGCAAACCUCCCCAGCUUCAAAUCACAUGACCUUCUUAAAAAGUGUCUUGCUAUUGUUGGCUAGUCAAGUAAUGAAUACAAAGUGGAGGUGCCCAGCAACUGCUUUAUUUAUUGUUUUUGCAGAGCGUUUGGUUACAUUCCGCUCACCUCCCGCCAAUAAUUCCUUCUGAUGGAGAGGCGUACGUUGUUUAAGCUAACACCAGACGUGUUUAUGCGCCGAGGCCUCCGGUAGCCCGACUAGUGUGACAUCACCCGAAAUCCCCCCCAGCUGCUUGGCAGAGGCGUCCCGUCCUU